UCAUUAUUGUUUUCCACUUUU
Molecule: non-coding RNA, 21 nt
Filed under: Caenorhabditis elegans
Lineage: Eukaryota; Metazoa; Nematoda; Chromadorea; Rhabditida; Rhabditidae
Source: RNAcentral